This 289-nucleotide small nuclear RNA is filed under the name Urocitellus parryii (Arctic ground squirrel). RNAcentral describes it as "7SK RNA (ENSUPAG00010001519.1)". It matches the Rfam family "7SK RNA". From Rfam's summary of the family: 7SK was discovered as an abundant small nuclear RNA in the mid-70s but a possible function has only recently been suggested. Lineage: Eukaryota; Metazoa; Chordata; Mammalia; Rodentia; Sciuridae. The record is from Rfam by way of RNAcentral.
GGAUGUGAGGGCCACAUCUGUCAUCCCAUUGGUGGCCAGGGCGGAUUUGGCUGAUCUGGCCGGGUGGGUGGCUGUCCCCUCCUCCCUCACAGCUGUCUGUGUAUCCCUCCCAAAGCUGCACACUUGGCCCCAGAGGACAAACUGCCCUGAUAGAGAAGUUCUUUACAGGGGUAGCUGAGCUCCCCAGAGAACCUCUAGACAAGCUCUCAAGAAACAAGGGGCUGGAGAYUGAGCUGUGCUGUCACUCCACUGCCCUCCUGGUGGGCCCCUCCUCUUUGAGGGCCCAGCA